RNAcentral lists this ribosomal RNA (255 nucleotides) under uncultured bacterium. Its description in RNAcentral is "partial 16S ribosomal RNA". It matches the Rfam family "Bacterial small subunit ribosomal RNA", at positions 16 to 266 of the family's 1533-position model. The record is from RNAcentral.
AUCCUGGCUCAGGAUGAACGCUAGCGACAGGCUUAACACAUGCAAGUCGAGGGGCAGCACGGUGUAGCGAUACACUGGUGGCGACCGGCGCACGGGUGAGUAACACGUGUGCAACCAACCCCGUACCGGGAGAUAACCCGCGGAAACGUGGACUAACAUCCCAUGACACUCUAGAGCCGCAUGGCUCUAGAUUUAAAAUUCCGGUGGUACGGGACGGGCACGCGCGACAUUAGGUAGUUGGCGGGGUAAGGGCCC